Molecule: long non-coding RNA, 661 nt
Organism: Diabrotica virgifera virgifera (western corn rootworm)
Lineage: Eukaryota; Metazoa; Arthropoda; Insecta; Coleoptera; Chrysomelidae
Exons: 2
Source: RefSeq, a predicted model, not a curated record
CCUUCGGCGCGCAUAGCGCCGUCCUUUUCUCAGUCUGCACUAUGCCAAGUUUAAUGGCUGCCGGCUUGUCUUUUGUCAGCUCAAGAACAUGUCAAGUAGGCGUGGCAACGCUCUAGCCUCGCUCAGGGUCACCGACACGAUGAAAUUCUUACCAAAAUAACACUCGGAUCACUCUGUAUGCACUUAUUCACACAUAUACAGGGUAAUGCAACAGCAAAACUUAUUAUCUUUAGCGUACGUAGUAUUGUUUGACGUGUAUGAUUGUAUAAAGCGUAAUUUCCACAUGUUAUCUACGGCAGCCAUCUUGGUGGCCCGUCCCCUCUCUGACUGGAGAGGUGCAAGCACAUCUGUCCGUUCACAGAUACCUGAUUUGUUUUGAUAUUUCGGCAUAUUUGCAGUCUUGUUUUGUUAAAUUUCGUUAGAAUUGUUUAGUUUCUGUUGUUAUGACGUAGUCGAAGAGUAGCUGCAGUGCAUGCUCUGUGAAGGCUGACAGUUCCCUACUGUUUCAAGUCUGGCAAUAUUUUCCUGGCAAAAGGAAUUUUAUACAGUGAAAAUAAGGUUUAUGUACCAAAAUAAAAUAAAAUUAAAUAUAAUAUGUAGAUGUAGGUGAAUAAAGCUCACAUUGUUAGAGUAGAUAAUAAAGUCAAUAAUUUCAUUUCCA